AGAGUUUGAUCCUGGCUCAGGAUGAACGCUGGCGGUCUGCUUAACACAUGCAAGUCGAACGGGAAUCUUCGGAUUCUAGUGGCGGACGGGUGAGUAACGCGUGAGAAUCUGCCUUCAGGACGGGGAUAACAGUUGGAAACGACUGCUAAGACCGGAUGUGCCGAGAGGUGAAAUAUUUAUAGCCUGAAGAUGAGCUCGCGUCCGAUUAGCUAGUUGGUAAGGUAAAAGCUUACCAAGGCGACGAUCGGUAGCUGGUCUGAGAGGACGAUCAGCCACACUGGGACUGAGACACGGCCCAGACUCCUACGGGAGGCAGCAGUGGGGAAUUUUCCGCAAUGGGCGAAAGCCUGACGGAGCAAGACCGCGUGGGGGAGGAAGGUUCUUGGAUUGUAAACCCCUUUUCUCAGGGAAGAACACAAUGACGGUACCUGAGGAAUCAGCAUCGGCUAACUCCGUGCCAGCAGCCGCGGUAAUACGGAGGAUGCAAGCGUUAUCCGGAAUAAUUGGGCGUAAAGCGUCCGUAGGUGGCUGUUCAAGUCUGCCGUUAAAGACCGGGGCUUAACCCUGGAAAGGCGGUGGAAACUGAACGGCUAGAGUGCAGUAGGGGUAGAGGGAAUUCCCAGUGUAGCGGUGAAAUGCGUAGAGAUUGGGAAGAACACCGGUGGCGAAAGCGCUCUGCUGGACUGCAACUGACACUGAGGGACGAAAGCUAGGGGAGCGAAUGGGAUUAGAUACCCCAGUAGUCCUAGCCGUAAACGAUGGAUACUAGGUGUGGCCUGUAUCGACCCGGGCCGCGCCGUAGCUAACGCGUUAAGUAUCCCGCCUGGGGAGUACGCACGCAAGUGUGAAACUCAAAGGAAUUGACGGGGGCCCGCACAAGCGGUGGAGUAUGUGGUUUAAUUCGAUGCAACGCGAAGAACCUUACCAGGACUUGACAUGUCCGGAACCCUCUUGAAAGAGAGGGGUGCCUUCGGGAACCGGAACACAGGUGGUGCAUGGCUGUCGUCAGCUCGUGUCGUGAGAUGUUGGGUUAAGUCCCGCAACGAGCGCAACCCUCGUCCUUAGUUGCCAGCAUUAAGUUGGGCACUUUAGGGAGACUGCCGGUGACAAACCGGAGGAAGGUGGGGAUGACGUCAAGUCAGCAUGCCCCUUACGUCCUGGGCUACACACGUACUACAAUGCUACGGACAAAGGGCAGCAAGUUAGCAAUGACAAGCAAAUCCCAUAAACCGUGGCUCAGUUCAGAUCGCAGGCUGCAACUCGCCUGCGUGAAGGCGGAAUCGCUAGUAAUCGCCGGUCAGCAUACGGCGGUGAAUCCGUUCCCGGGCCUUGUACACACCGCCCGUCACACCAUGGGAGUUGGCCACGCCCGAAGUCGUUACCCUAACCGCUUGCGGAGGGGGACGCCGAAGGCAGGGCUGAUGACUGGGGUGAAGUCGUAACAAGGUA
RNAcentral lists this ribosomal RNA (1449 nucleotides) under Oscillatoriales cyanobacterium HNS013.1. Its description in RNAcentral is "bacterial SSU rRNA". It matches the Rfam family "Bacterial small subunit ribosomal RNA". The record is from RNAcentral. Lineage: Bacteria; Bacillati; Cyanobacteriota; Cyanophyceae; Oscillatoriales.